GAUGAACGCUGGCGGCGUGCCUAAUACAUGCAAGUCGAGCGAACAGACGAGGAGCUUGCUCCUCUGACGUUAGCGGCGGACGGGUGAGUAACACGUGGAUAACCCACCUAUAAGACUGGGAUAACUUCGGGAAACCGGAGCUAAUACCGGAUAAUAUAUUGAACCGCAUGGUUCAAUAGUGAAAGACGGUUUUGCUGUCACUUAUAGAUGGAUCCGCGCCGCAUUAGCUAGUUGGUAAGGUAACGGCUUACCAAGGCAACGAUGCGUUGCCGACCUGAGAGGGUGUACGGCGCCACUGGAGGUGAGACACGGUCUAGGCACCGACAGGAGGCAGAGAUAGCGAAGGUACGGAAAAGGGGGGAAGCCUGACGGAUCGGUGCAAGGCGGAUGAAGAAGGGCUGCGUGUCGGAAGACGCUGUUAUGAGUGAAGAACAAAUGUGUAAGUAACGAAGCACGGCUUGACGGUACCUGAUAAAAAAGCACCGGCUAACUACGUG
RNAcentral lists this ribosomal RNA (497 nucleotides) under uncultured bacterium. Its description in RNAcentral is "partial 16S ribosomal RNA". It matches the Rfam family "Bacterial small subunit ribosomal RNA", at positions 28 to 507 of the family's 1533-position model. The record is from RNAcentral.